RNAcentral lists this ribosomal RNA (440 nucleotides) under uncultured bacterium. RNAcentral's name for it is "partial 16S ribosomal RNA". It matches the Rfam family "Bacterial small subunit ribosomal RNA", at positions 338 to 795 of the family's 1533-position model. The record is from RNAcentral.
CCUACGGGGGGCUGCAGUGGGGAAUAUUGCACAAUGGGGGAAACCCUAAGGCGCCACCGCCCCGUGAGGGAAAAGGCCUUUCGGUUCUAAAAGCUUUGUCCAACGGGAGGAAGAAUGAGGUAACCUUGGGAGGAAGCCCCGGCUAACAACUUGCCAGCACCGCCGGAAAACCGAAGGGGGCGAGCGUUAUCCGGAAUCCCUGGGCGAAAGGGGUGCGUAGGCGGCCGAUUAAGCCGGGGGUGAAAGGCUACGGCUCAACCGUAGUAAGCCCUUGGAACUGAUUGGCUUGAGUGCAGGGGAGGGGAGUGGAAUUCCUAGUGUAGCGGUGAAAUGCGUAGAUAUUAGGAGGAACACCAGUGGCGAAGGCGACUCUCUGGACUGUAACUGACGCUGAGGCACGAAAGCGUGGGGAGCAAACAGGAUUAGAUACCCUUGUAGUC